UGAUCCAGCCAUGCCGCGUGAGUGAAGAAGGCCUUCGGGUUGUAAAGCUCUUUCGGCAGGGAAGAAACGGCGAGCUCUAACAUAGCUCGCUAAUGACGGUACCUGAAGAAGAAGCACCGGCUAACUACGUGCCAGCAGCCGCGGUAAUACGUAGGGUGCGAGCGUUAAUCGGAAUUACUGGGCGUAAAGCGUGCGCAGGCGGUUGUGUAAGACAGGUGUGAAAUCCCCGGGCUUAACCUGGGAACUGCGCUUGAGACUGCACGGCUAGAGUAUGGCAGAGGGGGGUGGAAUUCCACGUGUAGCAGUGAAAUGCGUAGAGAUGUGGAGGAACACCGAUGGCGAAGGCAACCCCCUGGGCCGAUACUGACGCUCAUGCACGAAAGCGUGGGGAGCAAACAGGAUUAGAUACCCUGGUAGUCCACGCCCUAAACGAUGUCGACUAGGUGUUCGGAGAGGAGACUCAUUGAGUACCGUAGCUAACGCGUGAAGUCGACCGCCUGGGGAGUACGGUCGCAAGAUUAAAACUCAA
This 529-nucleotide ribosomal RNA is filed under the name uncultured Rhodocyclales bacterium. Its description in RNAcentral is "bacterial SSU rRNA". It matches the Rfam family "Bacterial small subunit ribosomal RNA", at positions 384 to 904 of the family's 1533-position model. Lineage: Bacteria; Pseudomonadati; Pseudomonadota; Betaproteobacteria; Rhodocyclales. The record is from RNAcentral.